UAAUGUAUGGGGAUCUGCCCGAUAGAGGGGGAUAACUACUGGAAACGGGUGGCUAAUACCGCAUAAUGUCUACGGACCAAAGCAGGGGCUCUUCGGACCUUGCACUAUCGGAUGAACCCAUAUGGGAUUAGCUAGUAGGUGGGGUAAAGGCUCACCUAGGCGACGAUCUCUAGCUGGUCGAUGAGAGGAUGAUCAGCCACACUGGGAUGCCUGAGACACGGCCCAGACUCCUAACGGGAGGCAGCAGUGGGGAAUAUUGCCAAUUCAGGCACAAUGGGCGCAAGCCUGAUGCAGCCAUGCCUGCGUGUAUGAAGAAGGCCCCAGGGUUGUAAAGUACUUUCAGCGGGGAGGAAGGUGAUAAGGUUAAUACCCUUGUCAAUUGACGUUACCCGCAGAAGAAGGCACCGGCUAACUCCGUUGCCAGCAGCCGCGGUAAUACGGAGGGUGCAAGCGUUAAUCGGAAUUACUGGGCGUAAAGCGCACAGCAGGCGGUCAAUUAAGUCAUAGAUGUGAAAGCCCCGAGCUUAACUUGGGAAUUGCAUCUGAAACUGGUUGGCAACUAGAGUCUUGUAGAGGGGGGUAGAAUUCCAUGUGUAGCGGUGAAAUGCGUAUGAGAUGUGAGAGGAAUAC
This 630-nucleotide ribosomal RNA is filed under the name Proteus mirabilis. RNAcentral describes it as "bacterial SSU rRNA". It matches the Rfam family "Bacterial small subunit ribosomal RNA", at positions 111 to 709 of the family's 1533-position model. Lineage: Bacteria; Pseudomonadati; Pseudomonadota; Gammaproteobacteria; Enterobacterales; Morganellaceae. The record is from RNAcentral.